This 206-nucleotide ribosomal RNA is filed under the name uncultured bacterium. Its description in RNAcentral is "partial 16S ribosomal RNA". It matches the Rfam family "Bacterial small subunit ribosomal RNA", at positions 568 to 774 of the family's 1533-position model. The record is from RNAcentral.
CGUGUAGGUGGGGUGUCAGGCAUCGGGUGAAAUCCCUCGGCUCAACCGAGGAACUGCCUGGUGAACCGGCAUUCUUGAGGCAGGUAGAGGUGGCUGGAACGACAGGUGGAGCGGUGAAAUGCGUAGAUAUCUGUUGGAACGCCGGCGGCGAAAGCGAGCCACUGGGCCUGUCCUGACACUGAGACGCGAAAGCGUGGGAGCAAACA